This 484-nucleotide ribosomal RNA is filed under the name uncultured bacterium. Its description in RNAcentral is "partial 16S ribosomal RNA". It matches the Rfam family "Bacterial small subunit ribosomal RNA", at positions 30 to 507 of the family's 1533-position model. The record is from RNAcentral.
AGUGAACGCUGGCGGCAUGCCUUACACAUGCAAGUCGAACGGCAGCGCGGGCUUCGGCCUCGCGGCGAGGUGGGAACGGGCGAGUAAUACAUCGGAACGUGCCCAGCAGCGGGGGAUAGGGGGGCGAAAGAGGGAUUAAUACGGUAUACGAGCUUAGGGUGAAAGGGGGGGAUCAUGGGAUCUCGGGCUAUUGGAGCGGCCGAUGGCAGAUUAGCUAGUUGGUGGGGUAAAGGGCUACCAAGGCGACGAUCCGUAGCUGGUCUGAGAGGACGACCAGCCACACUGGAACUGAGACACGGCCCAGACUCCUACGGGAGGCAGCAGUGGGGAAUUUUGGACAAUGGGCGAAAGCCUGAUCCAGCAAUGCCGCGUGUGUGAUGAAGGCCUUCGGGUUGUAAAGCACUUUUGGCGGGAAAGAAAAGGAGUGUGCCAAUACCACGGUUUGCUGACGGUACCCGAAGAAUAAGCACCGGCUAACUACGUG